Macrobrachium nipponense is the source of this 1592-nucleotide long non-coding RNA. RefSeq lists it as uncharacterized. The transcript has 3 exons. The record is from RefSeq and is a predicted model, not a curated record. Lineage: Eukaryota; Metazoa; Arthropoda; Malacostraca; Decapoda; Palaemonidae.
UAGUUGGCUGGUAGACGUAUCAGUACGAUUGGUGGUUCGACGGUUAUCCAUUUCAGUUCAUCUGCUCUAACGUAGAUUUGGAAAAAAAUUGACAAGUAAUAUUUCGCUUUUCGAUCCCUGGGUUGGUUUCAGUGACGGACGAUGAGGCAGUUACGGUAUUGUGUUCCACACCGACUCAGUUUUCCGUCUCGCUGUCUCUUAUGUGGUCUCUACGGAAUGAUUUAAGUUUUAAGUGUUUCGUUUAUUGGCGGGAAUGAUGCUACGAUGAAUAUUCAAGACUGGUUGAAAAAAAGAAAAAAAUUGCUGUUUUCCAGAAAUUCAUCUGAACUUCAAAUAUCCUAUUUUUUCCUUUUCCUCCACCCCAUCGGGGGCGGUGCCCCUGAUCGGGUGGAGGUGCUCCAUAGUAGGCGUGUUGGCUUACUGUGCUAGUCUUUGAAGUAUGUUUUUUUUUGCCAUUGCAGAUGACAGUGAGUCCUAACUUUACUAUUACCAGUAUUUUUUUAAACUGAUAAUCUAGUAAUUUCAGUAAUUAGUCACACUUAAUCUUGUACAUAUUAUGCAAUGGUUUGUAUAAAUCUGAUGGUUUGUAUAAAAUAGUUUUGUACAUAUUAUGCAAUGGUUUGUAUAAAUCUGAUGGUUUGUAUAAAAUAGUUAACUUGCAUAAGUAAGCCAUAUAUUAAGUGGGUUUUUAUGCUCAUGUAUUUUAUUAGCUUAAUCCACUCUGGUUUUAGUUACUUCUCUCCCUAUUACUGUAAUUUCAAAAGCUAUUUUUUUUAUAUAUUUGGCCGUUUUUCAUAUGUAACUAAAUUUUCAGUUUAGGUCGGUUUCAUCUUUAUAUAAAAACUGUAGAAGGAUUGCUUAUGGAUUGGUAUUUCUGGUUUCUCAGAGCCCCCAUUUCAUUUUUAAUUUUGAAUCAUGAAAUCUAUUCAAAUCUUAAAAUCCAUGGAUAUAACUUUUUAGAUAUUUGGUGCAUGUUAGUAUUUUGAAGGAAGUUUGGUGUUAUAUAUAUUUUGUAAUUCGAAAUCUUUAGCAUAAAAGAAAACUUACGUAAUGAGCAACAGUGUACGUUAACUUUUUUUUUUCUUUUGUAUUACGGUUUGCUUUUAAUUUAGUCUUAUCCAAAGUUUUUCCUGUUGCUCUUCAUGACCUACAGGUGACCUUUCUCUGAGGGGAUUUGGAGUUAUUGUGCGAUUAGUUCGUGGAAUGCUGUCGUUUUUUUCCUAUUACAAAAGCGAGGCUUCCCUAAUUUGACUUUUGUAGUGUGAUAAAACAGGUUUUGAGAAUCUUUCUGUAACCGUAGAUUCAUGAUUAAGAAAGAUUCCAAUGUGUGCACAAUCCUGUAAUUACUAAUGUUUGUAACCACAAAAAAUUGACCCUGAUUGUCAGAAAAAGGGUAGGCUACAUAAGCUGUUAAAUGUUUUUGCUUAAGAUUCAAGGAUAUAAGAUUUUGAGUUUCCUUAAUGGUUCUAAUUUGGAUUAGUACUGUAUAUCAAAUUGUUAAAGGAUAUAAAGGAAAUUGACUGUGGCUCUAUUUUAAAUUUUCAUCUUAUAGCGUUCAGUGUUCUGAUGGCUGAGGCUGGUACGGCUUGAGU